AUGUCCCUGUCCUCCCAGUGCUGGGUGACUCACCGGCUGGUCCUGCAGCUUCCCAGGAAGCUGGGCACGGAGACACCUGGGUUCAGGUAUCUGCAGCCGGGUGGCUCGGCCUCGCCUGCCGGAAGGUGUAGGUGUCCUUGGCUGCAGCAGCCACGAACCACAUCAGAGAGGUGGCUUUCUCAGGGAUGCUUCAGCACCGAGGCAUUUGGGGAGUGUUGUUUUCUGUCAGCAUUUGAUUUGGGGAGACCCUGCCAGAACUUGGCUGCUGACAUGACUCCCUCCCAACCGGUCCCUGCAGCCGUACCAGGGGUUUGGGUCACUUGGGGGGUUCAGGGGUCUCUGGGGAGGAGAGGGCAUUCCUCGUGCUGGGGCAUCCCUCCAGGGACACCCAUGCUGGGGCAGCUCCCCCACGUGUCAGGGGACAAUAUUAACCAGAGAAAAUCACCAUCAGCAGGUGUCCCUGUGCCUGACGGGCCCCACGGUGUGGAGCUCGUGCACCGGUGUUCCCGGAGCAGAGGUGUCCCAGGGCACAGGGCCAACCAUGCGCCAUGGACCUGCCCAGCCGUGUGGGACCUGAGGGGGAGCGUCACCUGGACUGCAGGCACCACCUCGCCUGCUCUGCCCGUGCUCGUCUGGCCGAGCCACACCAUCAAUGCACUUUUGAAGGAAGGAAUAACAAAAAUGUCCUCUUUCAAAAACCACAAGGAGCCAGCACCCAAGGGAGGGGCACAGGCAGGCAACCGUGGACAAAGAGAAAAGACAAAAAUCCUUUUUAUUCUGGAUUGGAGGUAUGUGAUUGCACAACCCCUAUCUCUGUGGGAAAGGAGCUCUCAAGCAUCUCCCGCCCCGGCACGUGAUUCCUGGGAAACAGAUCGGGGAGGCUGGCUGGUGCUUCAGGCUGCCUGGCCACCUGGGGAGGAGGAGAAGCCAGGGGAGUGCCAUGGUGGCAACUGCCUCCUGCCACCCUUUCCAGGAACUCGUUUAUCGCUUGGCUUCCCAUCUCCCCAGCAGAAGAGUCUCCUGGGCACGGCCAGGGGAAGGACACACGCUGAUGGGCUCAGAUCCCCCCAGUGCCAGCGCAGGCUGCCAGCCCCCCAGGUGCCAGCACGGCCCCUCUGUCCUCCUGGCCCCCCUCACCCAGAUCCUCGCCCAGGGGUCCCCUGCUCACCCUCUGGUACAGCUCAAAGGCUGCUGGUGAACACGCACACACAACCCACCCCCCACCAGGAUGGGGGAGAUGCUCGCCCCCCCAGGCACAUGGGCUGUGACCCAUAG
This 1275-nucleotide long non-coding RNA is filed under the name Calidris pugnax (ruff). RNAcentral's name for it is "lncRNA (ENSCPUG00000015464.1)". The record is from RNAcentral. Lineage: Eukaryota; Metazoa; Chordata; Aves; Charadriiformes; Scolopacidae.